ACAGCAGCAUCUUUUGUUCAGGUUCUUUUAUCUUCUGCUUCCCAUUAUUUCAUUCGUGCUGCAUCAAGCAGUGAUAGUCAAUUUGUCAUGUAGAGAUUGCAUAUGCACGAGUUUUUUAUCUCUGAAAAUUACUUUUGAUUGUUUACUAAAUAUUAAAUGGAAAUUGAUCCUUUUCAUUUCUUCCCUCAUUCUUCUUCUCAGUAUUUUGAAA
This 211-nucleotide unclassified non-coding RNA is filed under the name Hevea brasiliensis (rubber tree). Lineage: Eukaryota; Viridiplantae; Streptophyta; Magnoliopsida; Malpighiales; Euphorbiaceae. The record is from RNAcentral.